This 936-nucleotide ribosomal RNA is filed under the name Bacillus stratosphericus. RNAcentral's name for it is "bacterial SSU rRNA". It matches the Rfam family "Bacterial small subunit ribosomal RNA", at positions 546 to 1483 of the family's 1533-position model. The record is from RNAcentral. Lineage: Bacteria; Bacillati; Bacillota; Bacilli; Caryophanales; Bacillaceae.
CGGAUUAUUGGGCGUAAGGGCUCGCAGGCGGUUUCUUAAGUCUGAUGUGAAAGCCCCCGGCUCAACCGGGGAGGGUCAUUGGAAACUGGGAAACUUGAGUGCAGAAGAGGAGAGUGGAAUUCCACGUGUAGCGGUGAAAUGCGUAGAGAUGUGGAGGAACACCAGUGGCGAAGGCGACUCUCUGGUCUGUAACUGACGCUGAGGAGCGAAAGCGUGGGGAGCGAACAGGAUUAGAUACCCUGGUAGUCCACGCCGUAAACGAUGAGUGCUAAGUGUUAGGGGGUUUCCGCCCCUUAGUGCUGCAGCUAACGCAUUAAGCACUCCGCCUGGGGAGUACGGUCGCAAGACUGAAACUCAAAGGAAUUGACGGGGGCCCGCACAAGCGGUGGAGCAUGUGGUUUAAUUCGAAGCAACGCGAAGAACCUUACCAGGUCUUGACAUCCUCUGACAACCCUAGAGAUAGGGCUUUCCCUUCGGGGACAGAGUGACAGGUGGUGCAUGGUUGUCGUCAGCUCGUGUCGUGAGAUGUUGGGUUAAGUCCCGCAACGAGCGCAACCCUUGAUCUUAGUUGCCAGCAUUCAGUUGGGCACUCUAAGGUGACUGCCGGUGACAAACCGGAGGAAGGUGGGGAUGACGUCAAAUCAUCAUGCCCCUUAUGACCUGGGCUACACACGUGCUACAAUGGACAGAACAAAGGGCUGCGAGACCGCAAGGUUUAGCCAAUCCCACAAAUCUGUUCUCAGUUCGGAUCGCAGUCUGCAACUCGACUGCGUGAAGCUGGAAUCGCUAGUAAUCGCGGAUCANNAUGCCGCGGGUGAAUACGUUCCCGGGCCUUGUACACACCGCCCGUCACACCACGAGAGUUUGCAACACCCGAAGUCGGUGAGGUAACCUUUAUGGAGCCAGCCGCCGANNNNGGGCAGAUGANUGGGGUGA